GACGAACGCUGGCGGCGCGCCUAACACAUGCAAGUCGAACGAGCGAGAGAGAGCUUGCUUUCUUGAGCGAGUGGCGAACGGGUGAGUAACGCGUGAGGAACCUGCCUCAAAGAGGGGGACAACAGUUGGAAACGACUGCUAAUACCGCAUAAGCCCACGACCCGGCAUCGGGUUGAGGGAAAAGGAGCAAUCCGCUUUGAGAUGGCCUCGCGUCCGAUUAGCUAGUUGGUGAGGUAACGGCCCACCAAGGCGACGAUCGGUGGCCGGACUGAGAGGUUGAACGGCCACAUUGGGACUGAGACACGGCCCAGACUCCUACGGGAGGCAGCAGUGGGGAAUAUUGCACAAUGGGGGAAACCCUGAUGCAGCGACGCCGCGUGGAGGAAGAAGGUCUUCGGAUUGUAAACUCCUGUUGUUGAGGAAGAUAAUGACGGUACUCAACAAGGAAGUGACGGCUAACUACGUG
RNAcentral lists this ribosomal RNA (466 nucleotides) under uncultured bacterium. RNAcentral describes it as "partial 16S ribosomal RNA". It matches the Rfam family "Bacterial small subunit ribosomal RNA", at positions 28 to 507 of the family's 1533-position model. The record is from RNAcentral.